RNAcentral lists this ribosomal RNA (499 nucleotides) under uncultured bacterium. RNAcentral describes it as "partial 16S ribosomal RNA". It matches the Rfam family "Bacterial small subunit ribosomal RNA", at positions 899 to 1397 of the family's 1533-position model. The record is from RNAcentral.
ACUCAAAUGAAUUGACGGGGGCCCGCACAAGCGGUGGAUCAUGUGGUUUAAUUCGAAGCAACGCGCAAAACCUUACCUGGGUUUGACAUCCCCGGACCGCUGUAGAAAUACAGUUUCAGUAGCAAUACUGCCGGGAGACAGGUGCUGCAUGGCUGUCGUCAGCUCGUGUGGUGACAUGUUGGGUUAAGUCCCGCAACGAGCGCAACCCUUGCCUUUAGUUGCCAGCAUUAAGUUGGGCACUCUAGAGGGACUGCCGUGGUUAACACGGAGGAAGGUGGGGAUGACGUCAAGUCCUCAUGGCCUUUAUAUCCAGGGCGACACACGUGAUACAAUGGAUGACACAAAGGGAAGCGAACCCGCGAGGGGGAGCGAAUCUCAAAAAGUCAUUCUCAGUUCGGAUUGGAGUCUGCAACUCGACUCCAUGAAGCUGGAAUCGCUAGUAAUCGCGGAUCAGAACGCCGCGGUGAAUACGUUCCCGGGCCUUGUACACACCGCCCGU